AGAGUUUGAUCAUGGCUCAGAAUCAACGCUGGCGGCGUGCCUAACACAUGCAAGUCGUACGAGAAAGGGUAGCAAUACCUGAGUAAAGUGGCGCACGGGUGAGUAACACGUGAAUGAUCUACCUCCGAGUGGGGAAUAGCUGAGGGAAACCUUAAUUAAUACCGCAUAACACUUACGAGUCAAAGCAAGCAAUUGCGCUUGGAGAGGAGUUCGCGGCCGAUUAGUUAGUUGGCGGGGUAAUGGCCCACCAAGACGAUGAUCGGUAUCCGGCCUGAGAGGGCGCACGGACACACUGGAACUGAAACACGGUCCAGACUCCUACGGGAGGCAGCAGUGGGGAAUUUUGCGCAAUGGGGGAAACCCUGACGCAGCAACGCCGCGUGGAGGAUGAAAUAUCUUGGUAUGUAAACUCCUUUCGAUGGGGAAGAUAAUGACGGUACCCAUAGAAGAAGCCCCGGCUAACUUCGUGCCAGCAGCCGCGGUAAUACGAGGGGGGCAAGCGUUGUUCGGAUUUAUUGGGCGUAAAGGGUGCGUAGGCGGUUUGACAAGUCUUAUGUGAAAUCUAUGGGCUCAACCCAUAGUCUGCAUAAGAAACUGUUGAGCUUGAGUAUGGGAGAGGUGAGUGGAAUUUCCGGUGUAGCGGUGAAAUGCGUAGAUAUCGGAAGGAACACCUGUGGCGAAAGCGGCUCACUGGACCAUAACUGACGCUGAGGCACGAAAGCUAGGGGAGCAAACAGGAUUAGAUACCCUCGUAGUCC
Molecule: ribosomal RNA, 758 nt
Filed under: uncultured bacterium
Lineage: Bacteria
Description: bacterial SSU rRNA
Rfam family: Bacterial small subunit ribosomal RNA
Source: RNAcentral